Molecule: ribosomal RNA, 407 nt
Filed under: Ctenophryne geayi group sp. ABGD cluster 4
Lineage: Eukaryota; Metazoa; Chordata; Amphibia; Anura; Microhylidae
Description: partial large subunit ribosomal RNA
Rfam family: Bacterial large subunit ribosomal RNA
Source: RNAcentral
CCUGACCCCAUAGGAGGUCCAGCCUGCCCAGUGACAAAGUUAAACGGCCGCGGUACCCUAACCGUGCGAAGGUAGCGCAAUCACUUGUUCUUUAAAUGAGGACUAGUAUGAAUGGCAUCACGAGGGUUUCACUGUCUCCCCCUUUUAAUCAAUGAAACUGAUCUUCCCGUGAAGAAGCGGGAAUAAACAUAUAAGACGAGAAGACCCCAUGGAGCUUUAAACCCAGUAUCAACUACACUUACUACACCACACAAGAUUAGUAGACGUGACACCUGGUUUUCGGUUGGGGUGACCACGGAGCAAAACAAAACCUCCAUGAUGAAAGGAAUCUAUUCCUAAUCUAAGAGCCACAGCUCAAAGAAUCAACAAACUGACAUUAAUUGACCCAAAUAUUUUGAUCAACGAAC